This 276-nucleotide ribosomal RNA is filed under the name Scolelepis sp. GF-14318_9216. RNAcentral's name for it is "partial large subunit ribosomal RNA". The record is from RNAcentral. Lineage: Eukaryota; Metazoa; Annelida; Polychaeta; Spionida; Spionidae.
AGAGUAAAGCUGUUUCAUUUUUAUUAACCGAAAAUUAACCUUCAGAUGAAGAGAUCUGAAUAGAAAAGAAAGACAAAAAGACCCUAUUGAGCUUUACCCUACCAGAAUUCCCCCAAAGUGAAUCUAUUUAAUAAAUUCUGAGCGGGUUUUGUUGGGGCGACAGAAGAAGAACUAAAUCUUCUUUAUUUAAUGAGGUAAUAAACCUAAUAAUGAUCCGGAACCCCCGAUUAAAAGAUUCAGCUACCAUAGGGAUAACAGGCUAAUUCUUUCCGAGAG